Molecule: ribosomal RNA, 485 nt
Filed under: uncultured bacterium
Lineage: Bacteria
Description: SSU rRNA
Rfam family: Bacterial small subunit ribosomal RNA
Source: RNAcentral
AGGACGAACGCUGGCGGCGUGCCUAACACAUGCAAGUCGAACGAGGUCCAACCGGUAGCAAUACCGGUGAAGAUCAAGUGGCGAACGGGUGAGUAGCACGUGAGCAACCUGCCCCGAAGACCGGGACAACACCGGGAAACCGGUGCUAAUACCGGAUAUCCCCACCGAGUCGCAUGGCUCAGUGAGGAAAUGGAUUCCGCUUCGGGAGGGGCUCGCGGCCUAUCAGCUAGUUGGUGAGGUAACGGCCCACCAAGGCGACGACGGGUAGCCGGCCUGAGAGGGCGACCGGCCACACUGGGACUGAGACACGGCCCAGACUCCUACGGGAGGCAGCAGUGGGGAAUAUUGCGCAAUGGGCGAAAGCCUGACGCAGCGACGCCGCGUGGGGAUGAAUGCCUUCGGGUUGUAAACCCUUUCAGCAGGGACGAAGCGAAAGUGACGGUACCUGCAGAAGAAGCGCCGGCUAACUACGCGCCAGCAGCCGC